GCUUCCGUAGCUCAGUUGGUUAGAGCUUCGUACUAAUAAGCGUUAGUGAUGCGGAGGCCGCAGGUUCAAGCCCUGCCGGGAGCA
This is a transfer RNA of Metarhizium album ARSEF 1941, 84 nucleotides long. It matches the Rfam family "tRNA". From Rfam's summary of the family: Transfer RNA (tRNA) molecules are approximately 80 nucleotides in length. Their secondary structure includes four short double-helical elements and three loops (D, anti-codon, and T loops). Further hydrogen bonds mediate the characteristic L-shaped molecular structure. tRNAs have two regions of fundamental functional importance: the anti-codon, which is responsible for specific mRNA codon recognition, and the 3' end, to which the tRNAs corresponding amino acid is attached (by aminoacyl-tRNA synthetases). tRNAs cope with the degeneracy of the genetic code in two manners: having more than one tRNA (with a specific anti-codon) for a particular amino acid; and 'wobble' base-pairing, i.e. permitting non-standard base-pairing at the 3rd anti-codon position. NCBI's taxonomy places the organism in Eukaryota, Fungi, Ascomycota, Sordariomycetes, Hypocreales, Clavicipitaceae. The record is from Rfam.